RNAcentral lists this ribosomal RNA (519 nucleotides) under uncultured bacterium. Its description in RNAcentral is "bacterial SSU rRNA". It matches the Rfam family "Bacterial small subunit ribosomal RNA", at positions 953 to 1471 of the family's 1533-position model. The record is from RNAcentral.
GAAGCAACGCGAAGAACCUUACCAGGUCUUGACAUCCUCUGACACUCCUAGAGAUAGGACUUUCCCCUUCGGGGGACAGAGUGACAGGUGGUGCAUGGUUGUCGUCAGCUCGUGUCGUGAGAUGUUGGGUUAAGUCCCGCAACGAGCGCAACCCUUGAUCUUAGUUGCCAGCAUUCAGUUGGGCACUCUAAGGUGACUGCCGGUGACAAACCGGAGGAAGGUGGGGAUGACGUCAAAUCAUCAUGCCCCUUAUGACCUGGGCUACACACGUGCUACAAUGGAUGGUACAAAGGGCAGCGAAGCCGCGAGGUGGAGCCAAUCCCAUAAAACCAUUCUCAGUUCGGAUUGCAGGCUGCAACUCGCCUGCAUGAAGCCGGAAUCGCUAGUAAUCGCGGAUCAGCAUGCCGCGGUGAAUACGUUCCCGGGCCUUGUACACACCGCCCGUCACACCACGAGAGUUUGUAACACCCGAAGUCGGUGGGGUAACCGUAAGGAGCCAGCCGCCUAAGGUGGGACAGA